This 407-nucleotide ribosomal RNA is filed under the name uncultured bacterium. RNAcentral's name for it is "partial 16S ribosomal RNA". It matches the Rfam family "Bacterial small subunit ribosomal RNA", at positions 30 to 526 of the family's 1533-position model. The record is from RNAcentral.
AUUGAACGCUGGCGGCAGGCCUAACACAUGCAAGUCGAGCGGAUCGGCGGACGGGUGAGUAAUGCCUAGGUAUCUGCCAGGUAGUGGGGGAUAAGGUCCGGUAACGGGCGCUAAUACUGCUUCCUAUUAGAUGAGCCUAGGUCGGAUGAGCUAGUGGGGGGGGUACAGGCCUACCAAGUCGACGAUCCGUAACUGGUCUGGGAGGAUGAUCAUGCACACGGGAACUGAGACACGGUCCAGACUCCUACGGGAGGCAGCCGUGGGGAAUAUUGGACAAUGGGCGAAAGCCUGAUCCAGCCAUGCCGCGUGUGUGAAGAAGGUCUUCGGAUUGUAAAGCACUUUAAGUUGGGAGGCGUUACCAACAGAAUAAGCACCGGCUAACUUCGUGCCAGCCGCCGCGGUAAUAC